Molecule: non-coding RNA, 30 nt
Filed under: Macaca fascicularis (crab-eating macaque)
Lineage: Eukaryota; Metazoa; Chordata; Mammalia; Primates; Cercopithecidae
Also listed under: 1 other name
Source: RNAcentral
UGGCUACCACACUGGACAGCACAGGUCUAA